AUGAGGUUCCAAUGGUUAGUUUUGGAUUUUUUCAGGCAAGAAAGCAAAGAAGAAGGGAGGAUUCUCUAUUACCAACUUCCCCCAUUGUCCUGUCCUCAUUGGUCAUUCAUCUUUCCCGAUCUAGUGCCAUCGUUCUUCAAGGUGCCGGAGGGUUUGAAGCAUACCUACUACCCCUCCCCUGAGCUUAGUUCAGAGUUGCCUCAGCGCGCUCGAGUAAUAACUGGGAAAAUCAAGGCUGGACAGGUCUUCGAGCCAACUUCAGGAAGAAAUGCAAGUGAAAGAGAAUGCUCUCGAGGGCGCAUGAGUCUUUUCUUUCUUAUUUGA
This 324-nucleotide ribosomal RNA is filed under the name Triticum aestivum (bread wheat). RNAcentral describes it as "partial small subunit ribosomal RNA". The record is from RNAcentral. Lineage: Eukaryota; Viridiplantae; Streptophyta; Magnoliopsida; Poales; Poaceae.